Molecule: ribosomal RNA, 440 nt
Filed under: uncultured bacterium
Lineage: Bacteria
Description: partial 16S ribosomal RNA
Rfam family: Bacterial small subunit ribosomal RNA
Source: RNAcentral
CCUACGGGUGGCAGCAGUGGGGAAUAUUGCACAAUGGGGGAAACCCUGAUGCAGCGACGUCGCGUGAGUGAAGAAGUAACUCGGUAUGUAAAGCUCCAUCUGCAGGGAAGAAAAUGAGUGUACCCGAGGAAGAAGCCCCGGUUAACUACGUGCCAGCAGCCGCGGUCACACGGAGGGAGCAAGCGUUAUCCGGAUUUAUUGGGGGUAAAGGGGGCGUAGAUGGGAGUGCAAGUUUCGAGUGAAAGACGGGGGCUCAACCCCCGGAGUGCUUUGGAAACUGUCGGGCUGGAGUGCAGGAGAGGUAUGUGGAAUGCCUGGUGUAGCGGUGAAAUGCGUAGAUAUUAGGAGGAACACCGGUGGCGAAGGCGGCUUACUGGAGUGUAACUGACGUUGAGGCACGAAAGCGUGGGGAGUGAACAGGAUUAGAUACCCGGGUAGUC